Non-coding RNA from Chiloscyllium plagiosum (whitespotted bambooshark), 158 nucleotides. NCBI's taxonomy places the organism in Eukaryota, Metazoa, Chordata, Chondrichthyes, Orectolobiformes, Hemiscylliidae. The record is from RefSeq and is a predicted model, not a curated record.
UAACUGACCUGGCAGGGAGAUACCUUGAUCCAAAAGAAGGUUCUCCCUGGACAAGGCAAUCCCAUUGCACUUCGGGUGUGCUGAUGCCUGCAAUGUGGGAAUGCGGGAAACUUAACUGCAAAGUUUGUACCUCAGAUUUUGUUCCUAUGGACCUUUGU